RNAcentral lists this long non-coding RNA (2394 nucleotides) under Lynx pardinus (Iberian lynx). The record is from RNAcentral. Lineage: Eukaryota; Metazoa; Chordata; Mammalia; Carnivora; Felidae.
AAAUCAGAGCUACACUGAAGACUCUCAGUCUAUCCCCAGCAGAACAUCUUAAUGUGGUCCACCCAGAAACUGAACCGAAGCCACAUUCCUGGCAAAAGGAGUUUCAUCUUGGCCGUCUGCUCUUGGCUUUGGCCAGCUGGGCUCAGGGAGAUCUAAAAACCUAGGACAGUGCAUGGAUCCAGUAGACGAGUCCAGGCCUCCCCUUCCCCAGAGCUAAGCGGCAUCCCUCAUCACCUCCCCAACCCCAGAUAGACUCCCUACAGCGUAGCUGCCUGGUCCUAGCACUAGCUCAAAAUACAGGCAGGAGAACAAACAGUGCAAAAAGCAAAUGACGAACAGAGUAAUUUGUGACGUACACAAUACAAAAAUAAAAAUAAAGAGUGCCCCACCCCACCCCUUUAACCUAAACUUCAUGUACCUAUAUCAUCUUGAAGGAGCCCCCCCCCCCCCCCCCCCCCGCCUCCCCGAACAAAAAAAAAAAAGCUUUCAAGUUCAGCAUCAUGGGCCAGCUAUGACCAGCCCCGGGCAGCUGUUAGCUGGGUGGACUUGGCUCCAGGGGACUCUACCCCAGCCCCCCACCAUACUUCUUCCUGUUUCCUCACUUCUCCUUUAGUUUUUGUGAGCCAUAGAAAGAUGUUCCUUCCUUUCGGACACAAGCAGAGGAAAAUGCCCAUCCCUAUCCCUGGGCUCAGGGGAAAGGAGUGAGCUUGGAAACAGGGGUGGGCUUGGAAGCAAAGCUGCUUGGCUUACAGUACCGUUAGGAAAUGGCCCCAGGAGCCAGGGUUUCCUUCUGAGACUCUGAGUCACUGAAGGGAUGGGUUGAGGUGAGUAGGCGGGACCCCUCCUUCCUCAAAGACCCAGGCAAACUAACAAACAAGGCAAAAUGGAGGCAGCGAGUCCUCCUUCCUCCUCUUGUCUACUCCAUUGACAGUGGCCUACAGCUUUGAGGAGAUCUGAUGGAAGGGGAACCAAAGCCACUGUCAGAAGCCCAAUUAGUCAGGACGUCCAUUGCCCUGGGCAAAGGGUGCCCCGGAUCAAGGCUACAGGAUGCCAUCCUUCAAAGCAGGGAGCUUUGUGAAGCACUCCAGGAAGUGUUCCUCUUAUUGCGGCCUCAGUCCACAGUCAUCCAGAUGCCUGACUCAAUCCCCUACUACUGAGGCCUAAGUCACAGCUAAAAUAAAGGGCUCCCACUCUCAAAGGACUAAAUGCUGGCCCAGAGUAACUCAUUAAGAGCCAAAACCCAGGCCAUGAGCCCAAGAGCUACUUACUUUGUCACACAAGCAAUUCAAAUGCGUGGAGCUCUUCAAACACAUUAAAAAAAAAAAAAGACAAAAUUAAACACAUUCUAAAAAGAUCAGCCUGGUCUGAGAUUCUAUGCUGCUCUAGCCCAAGCGGAAGCUAACCCUGCUGCUUUCCAUCCACAAAACUCUGUGUAGCUUGGUUGGGUCCUCCCUCAUUGUUGCUCUAACUGGGAAAAGAAUAACAGUGACCAGAAAGAAAGGCAACAGGGAACCUUCAUUUCCUGUACAAGUUUUUCCAGGGAAUUGAAGACAGCCACUUGAUGCUAAGGCUGGCUUCAGAGCUGCCAGGACUAUGGCUGACUAGAAAUCUUUCAGCUCCGUCACACCAAGAACCCAACUGCAGCUCAGACAGGGAAAUGAAAGGAAAGGCGUAGACUGCUAGGAUCGGGAAGAGGCGCCAGUGGGCCAGAUAUAGACAAUGAGUCUAAUUUCUUGGGGCAGCUCUAGGCAUAAACCAAAACUGGUUGACUUGUGACACAGAAGGACAUGGGAAUAAAUGAACAUCAGAUACUAGAUAGACACUCUAAACAGUGGUCAGUCACUUAGUAGGGCUCAAGUCUCUGAGGUGGCUCUUAAGUUAUGCUAACAUAAGCCUUUUCUAAUCCAAAGACCAGAAAAGACUUUUAAGGUCAAGUGUUCUGUUGCUGCAGGCUGGAAAGCAUCCCUGUCCCCUGGCAGCAAGACCCUACAAAGGGGCCAGUAAAAGAACUGCUGGGUCAGGUCCUCCUGGCUGCUGGCUCAGAGAUCCAGGGAGGGAGGUACCAACAAGGUGAGGUGGUAGAGGAUAAGACAUUCAAGCAGAGGGAACCCCAAAUCCCCAGGUCGCCUUCCCUUCUUGACAAUAACUUAGCGGGAUGAUUGAGAGAGAGAGAAGAGAUUUCAAAUGGGCCAGAUUAAAGGGGGAAAAAAUGAGAAGAAAUCAAAGUCCCCAACAGGCACUGAAAUCAAAAUGAUUUGUUGUGGUAACAAGUCAGAGGCAACUUGAGGACCUGACAUAAACUAAUCGUCUUGGAUACCAGACAGUCCUCUAACUGGCAUAUGUCAGGGAGACAAGCAAUGACAAAGCGCAAACACUUAAGGUGGAACCAUCACU